UACAGGGGGUGCAAACGUUGCUCGGAAUCAUUGGGCGUAAAGCGCACGUAGGCGGUUUGUUAUGUCGGAUGUGAAAGCCCUCGGCUCAACCGGGGAAGUGCACCCGAAACUGCGGAACUAGAGUCUCGGAGAGGAUCGUGGAAUUCUCGGUGUAGAGGUGAAAUUCGUAGAUAUCGAGAGGAACACCGGUGGCGAAGGCGGCGAUCUGGACGGUGACUGACGCUGAGACGCGAAAGCGUGGGGAGCAAACAGG
This 253-nucleotide ribosomal RNA is filed under the name uncultured bacterium. Its description in RNAcentral is "partial 16S ribosomal RNA". It matches the Rfam family "Bacterial small subunit ribosomal RNA", at positions 524 to 776 of the family's 1533-position model. The record is from RNAcentral.